This 296-nucleotide long non-coding RNA is filed under the name Bos taurus (domestic cattle). Its description in RNAcentral is "long non-coding RNA NONBTAT026200". Lineage: Eukaryota; Metazoa; Chordata; Mammalia; Artiodactyla; Bovidae. The record is from RNAcentral.
UACAAGGUUAGGUGUCUGAUUAUUUCCUUAAUAUUUUCUUUUUUAAUAGAUUUCCAUAUUUACAACUUGUAUAAGUAAGAUUACCUCUUCUUUAGAAUUAACACAUCCUUGAUCUUUGGCUAUUUUAUGGCCUAUGGGCCUUUCACUGGAGAAAGAAUAGGCAAAAGAGAACAUUGGUUCAUUAUUUUUCAGUCUGUUUCAUCAACCUCAAUGGACAAUAUGGCUUUUUAAUAGUAGAGAAAGCCCAGUAACUAUUUUUCACACAUGAACCCUUGUAAUGAUGGUGGCUAUAGGUC